UGGCACAGGAGGUACUUGGAUUUUCAAGGAAAAGAUGGAAGAACCUGGGAAAUGAAAAUGUCUGCUACUACAAGAGGAAGGAAUACACUGGAAUUGGUGCGAGACUAAAAGAAAAGGAGCAAGAUGUAGAUGAUGCAGUGAAGGAAAUGCCGGCUGACCUUCCAGCGGUACCAUCCACAAUGAGGCUUCACCAGGUGAUUACUCUUUCACCUGGAAAAAUGCUCUACCGCGACAUCAGCUGCAUGUGUUCUGCAAAUGGGAAUCUGGAAUGUAAUUGCCAGAAAACGAAAA
Lates calcarifer (barramundi perch) is the source of this 291-nucleotide long non-coding RNA. RefSeq lists it as uncharacterized. The transcript is spliced from 3 exons. NCBI's taxonomy places the organism in Eukaryota, Metazoa, Chordata, Actinopteri, Centropomidae. The record is from RefSeq and is a predicted model, not a curated record.